AUGGUGCGAAAUACAACCACUCUCUCACCAACCUCCGGCGUCUUGCGCUGCAGCAGCAGUAGCGUGCCCCAAAAUGCUCCGGGGCAGGGGAAAAACCCAAGGCAGCAAACAUCUAAAAACAGGAAUGUGCAUUACAAUAACCCAAAUGAUAUCAACUGCCCUAGAAACAAACAAAUGACUUGACUUUUAAAUACAAGGUUAUCUGUGCAUAUGAGAAACAUUUACACAAAAUUCAUAGGUUAAUGUAUGUCUUGUCAUCAGAAAUAAUUGUAGGGAGUAAUCAUUUAAUGAAUCAUAGCAUACAUUCUUGCUUAAACAAAAACAAUUAUGUUAGCGAGAAACAAAGUGUACUGGUUGGGAUACUGUGGAAGCUAGGCGGUUCAAAAAUAUAAAUAAAUCACACUUACAUUUGCCAUACAAAAACAAAUAUUUUGAACAGGUAGAAUGAAAGCGGCUUAGCAGUCUUGAGCACAGAAGACAUGCUGGGUUUAUAUUUGCACUUGGUGAGAGAUGCAACAUCAAAUUUCAAAACAACAUUUACCAUAUUAGCAGUGAAUACAUAAAAUUGGGAGAGCAUCCUUGUGAAUAUUACACUAACAAUCCUUAUUCAACAAAUAUACUUAAAUACCCAUGUACAUGAGGAUACAUACAUAAGAUUAAAUCAAACUCAUAAUAUCCCAGCUCUCUAAAAUAUAGGAUGUCUAAUGUAGGAAUAAUAACUCAUUUAUCAGCAUGUGUCUCAAAACCGAAAUUAGAUAGCCGCACCUUCCUGAACAAAAAAAAAAACAACGACACAGAAGAAUAACAUGAUUGAAUAAGAAAUGAGAUACCAUACGAGGAAUAUAGUUAGAAAUUACAACUUUUUUCCAACAAUAACACAUUACAUUUCAAUGUCUCAAAAUUAAAAAAAUUCUACGUAAAAAACAAAAAGCAAACACAUGCUUAAAACAUUAUUGUUCACAAAAACACACCUGUCAUUAUACCCAAUCCUCAAGACUGCUAAGCCAAUACCAUUUUAUUGCAAAAACUAGACAAAAUAGAUUAUACUACAUCUUGAUCAAAGACAAGGCGAUACAUUAAAAAAAGUAUACUUAAGUAUCCCAAAAUUGCCAAGUAAAAUAUCAGUUUUUAGGUUUAGUUAUUCUACAGCGAAUGCAUUACAAAAAGGAAAGGUACGCCGCAAAGUGUUGAAAAUAUACUUUAGAAACCUCAAUAGUACUGUUAAUAGCUCUCUUUUCGUCUCAAUGAUUCCAAAGUCU
RNAcentral lists this long non-coding RNA (1259 nucleotides) under Oncorhynchus kisutch (coho salmon). RNAcentral's name for it is "lncRNA (ENSOKIG00005003728.1)". The record is from RNAcentral. Lineage: Eukaryota; Metazoa; Chordata; Actinopteri; Salmoniformes; Salmonidae.